UGGGGAAUUUUGGACAAUGGGCGAAAGCCUGAUCCAGCAAUGCCGCGUGUGUGAAGAAGGCCUUCGGGUUGUAAAGCACUUUUGUCCGGAAGGAAAUCCUUGGCUCUAAUACAGUCGGGGGAUGACGGUACCGGAAGAAUAAGCACCGGCUAACUACGUGCCAGCAGCCGCGGUAAUACGUAGGGUGCAAGCGUUAAUCGGAAUUACUGGGCGUAAAGCGUGCGCAGGCGGUUUGCUAAGACCGAUGUGAAAUCCCCGGGCUCAACCUGGGAACUGCAUUGGUGACUGGCAGGCUAGAGUAUGGCAGAGGGGGGUAGAAUUCCACGUGUAGCAGUGAAAUGCGUAGAGAUGUGGAGGAAUACCGAUGGCGAAGGCAGCCCCCUGGGCCAAAUACUGACGCUCAUGCACGAAAGCGUGGGGAGCAAACAGGAUUAGAUACCCUGGUAGUCCACGCCCUAAAACGAUGUCAACUAGUUGUUGGGGGAUUCAUUUCCUUAGUAACGUAGCUAACGCGUGAAGUUGACCGCCUGGGGAGUACGGUCGCAAGAUUAAAACUCAAAGGAAUUGACGGGGUCAUAGCUGUUUCCU
RNAcentral lists this ribosomal RNA (588 nucleotides) under uncultured bacterium. RNAcentral's name for it is "partial 16S ribosomal RNA". It matches the Rfam family "Bacterial small subunit ribosomal RNA", at positions 355 to 1375 of the family's 1533-position model. The record is from RNAcentral.